RNAcentral lists this non-coding RNA (30 nucleotides) under Mus musculus (house mouse). Lineage: Eukaryota; Metazoa; Chordata; Mammalia; Rodentia; Muridae. The record is from RNAcentral.
UGGGAAGGAGACUUGAACUUACUUCAGACA